RNAcentral lists this ribosomal RNA (676 nucleotides) under uncultured fungus. RNAcentral's name for it is "eukaryotic LSU rRNA". The stretch from base 215 to 368 matches the Rfam family "5.8S ribosomal RNA". The record is from RNAcentral. Lineage: Eukaryota; Fungi.
CUUGGUCAUUUAGAGGAAGUAAAAAGUCGUAACAAGGUUUCCGUAGGUGAACCUGCGGAAGGAUCAUUCAUAAUAAGUGUUUUAUGGCACUUUUUAAAUCCAUAUCCACCUUGUGUGCAAUGUCAGUCGUUCUCUUCUAUGGGAACGACCAAACAUCAACCAACUCUUUAACUCUUUGUCUGAAAAAUAUUACGAAUAAAAUAAUUCAAAAUACAACUUUCAACAACGGAUCUCUUGGCUCUCGCAUCGAUGAAGAACGCAGCGAAAUGCGAUACGUAAUGUGAAUUGCAGAAUUCAGUGAAUCAUCGAAUCAUUGAACGCAUAUUGCGCUCUUUGGUAUUCCGAAGAGCAUGCUUGUUUGAGUAUCAGUAAACACCUCAAAUCCUUCAAUUUGUUUUGAAGGCUUUGGACUUGAGCAAUCCCAACACCAGUCUUUACGAUCGGUGGAGGGUUGCUUGAAAUGCAGGUGCAGCUGGACAUUCUCCUGAGCUAUAAGCAUAUUUAUUUAGUCCCGUCAAACGGAUUAUUACUUUUGCUGCAGCUAACAUAAAGGGAGUCUGACCAUAUUGGCUGACUGAUGCAGGAUUUCACAAGGGUCGGCAACGAUUCUUGUAAAACUCGAUCUCAAAUCAAGUAAGACUACCCGCUGAACUUAAGCAUAUCAAUAAGCGGAGGA